GAAUAUUAGUCAAUGAUCGAAAGAUUGAUCUAGUUACUUAGAAAGAUGAUUUAUCAAUAUACAUCAGAAAGAAAGAACAUUGUUUUUUUUUUCAGAAAUUUGAAUAAAAUUAGAAAAAAGAUAAAAUUGAUUAAAAAUAAAAUCUAAAUUAUAGAGAAAAUAAUGAUAAUCUAUAAUAAUAGUCUUAACCAAAAAUAGUGCCAGCAGUUGCGGUUACACUAUGAAGGCUAACGUUAAUCAUUAAGGCUUAAAGGAUCCGUAGAACGAUAUAUAAUUUUAAAACUGAAAAGGACUAAGAAAUUAGGAUAAAAUAAAUAAAAAUAUAUUAGAGUUUUAAGUAUGAUUAAAGAAUAAUUAUAGUAAAGAUGAAAUAAUUAUGAUAAUAAUUAGACUGUUAAAGGUGAAAACAUUAAUCAAAAAUAAAACUGACGUUGAGGGAUGAAGGCAUAAGUAGCAAAACGGAUUCGAUACCCGAUUAGUUUAUGCAGUAAACGAUGAAUACUUCUAUAAAUAAAAUUUGUAGUAAGUGAAAACGUAAGUAUUCCGCCUGGUGAGUAUAUUCGCAAGGAUGAAAUCCAAGACAAUAGACGGUUACAGAUAAAGGCAGUGGAUUGUGUUAU
Molecule: ribosomal RNA, 620 nt
Filed under: Komagataella populi
Lineage: Eukaryota; Fungi; Ascomycota; Pichiomycetes; Pichiales; Pichiaceae
Description: partial small subunit ribosomal RNA
Rfam family: Bacterial small subunit ribosomal RNA
Source: RNAcentral